GACGAGCGUGGCAAGCGUUAUUCGGAAUCAUUGGGCGUAAAGCGUCUGUAGGGGGAUCUUCACGUCGGGUGUAAAAGCCAGAGGCUCAACCUCUGCGACGGCAUCCGAUACGGAGGAUCUAGAGGACUGUAGAGGCAUAUGGAAUUCCAGGAGUAGGGGUAAAAUCCGUAGAUACCUGGAGGAACACCGAUAGCGAAGGCAAUAUGCUGGGCAGCUCCUGACCCUGAGAGACGAAAGCGUGGGUAGCAAACGGG
RNAcentral lists this ribosomal RNA (254 nucleotides) under uncultured bacterium. Its description in RNAcentral is "partial 16S ribosomal RNA". It matches the Rfam family "Bacterial small subunit ribosomal RNA", at positions 524 to 776 of the family's 1533-position model. The record is from RNAcentral.